RNAcentral lists this ribosomal RNA (253 nucleotides) under uncultured bacterium. RNAcentral's name for it is "partial 16S ribosomal RNA". It matches the Rfam family "Bacterial small subunit ribosomal RNA", at positions 524 to 776 of the family's 1533-position model. The record is from RNAcentral.
UACGAAGGGUGCAAGCGUUACUCGGAAUUACUGGGCGUAAAGCGUGCGUAGGUGGUUUGUUAAGUCUGUUGUGAAAGCCCCGGGCUCAACCUGGGAAUGGCAAUGGAUACUGGCAAGCUAGAGUGCGGUAGAGGGUAGUGGAAUUCCCGGUGUAGCGGUGAAAUGCGUAGAGAUCGGGAGGAACACCAGUGGCGAAGGCGGCUACCUGGACCAGCACUGACACUGAGGCACGAAAGCGCGGGGAGCAAACAGG